This 1823-nucleotide ribosomal RNA is filed under the name Triticum aestivum (bread wheat). Its description in RNAcentral is "partial small subunit ribosomal RNA". Lineage: Eukaryota; Viridiplantae; Streptophyta; Magnoliopsida; Poales; Poaceae. The record is from RNAcentral.
CUAGCUCGCUCGCGGGCUCGCACGGGCAGGAGCGUCGGAGGAGGGUGUUAAGGGGCGUGGGCUCGGGGUACUCUCCUCGAGGAGGACACCAAAACGUGCGGCGGCGGCCGCUGGAGGUUGGUGUCGAACGGCCUCGGUCGUCUACUCACGGUGGGAAGAAGGGCACGAGAGAAAGAAGGAGGAAAAAGAGAGAGUGUGUAGAGUUAAAGAGAGAAACAGAGUUUAUCACGUGAGACAGCGGUACCUGCGAGCGCAGGGGCUGGAAGUCGCACGGCGGGGUUACGGUUCAGGGAGGAGCGGCAAGGACGCGGCGGCUCGGCUUCGGAGCGGGUUCAGGUUCUCGACGGCGGCAAACGGAGGAGCGGUACCGGAGGGGACGAAGCAGACGAAGCGCCUGUCUCGAGGCAGAGGCAGUUGCACAGGAGGGCGGCAGAGACAAGCGACAGCCCGAGUUAGCUGAGGUCGUCAUGGGGGUGCCUGUUCCACCACUUGGACGACAAGCUCUUCUCCGGCUUCGUCAAGCCGUAGCUACCGCGGGACGACUGUUUCUUCCUGGAGGUGGCCAAGCAGUUCACCCGGUUCCAGUACGCGUAGGUCGCGGUCGCGGCGUAGGAGUUUAUCGCGGAGUUCCACGGGAGCCGCGAGGUACUCAAGUGGGCGUGGGAGCUGUUCUUGGAGCCAUAUAUGCUUUGAAAGGACAAGUAAGCAGCGACCUGAGCCUUAGGUGUUACGGGCUCCAGCAAAUCAACGACACUACAUAAUAAAACUGAACACCCAUACGUUAUCGAUUCACUCGCUCAUAAUUGAACCGGUUCUAUUACUUUUCUCAACUACCUACACAAAAUUCUAAGGACAACCAUCUAUGUAACCCUCGGAGGAGAACACACUAUUCCCGUUACGUACAACAACAGGAUGUAUGGAUGAUGAUAUAAAUAAAAUGACUUAUAUAACUGUACGGUACUGUAAUACUUCAUUAUCUGACCAAUCGUCUUCGAAAGUGAAGAUUCCUACGGUCAUCCUUCUUAGUAACAUCAAUUCACUGACACACCGACGACACCGGAACGAUACAAACAUGGACUUCAGUGUGGAGAUAUUAACGAAAAAUAAAAUACAACCUUGCACAGAUCAAUACCGUGCCACUCGAGAGAGAAAGGACCUAAAACUUAAUGAAUCAAUACACUAGAUGAGUACAAGCACGAUUAACUGGUUAUGUACGAAAAGACAUUGAAAUCUAUAAAAGUUCUUAUCAAACGAACCAGGAAGUAUAGAUUUCGAACGUACAUAACAUCUUCGAGAUGAAAUACGAUUAUGGACGAACACAUUGUAAAACGUACCGUAUGAAGAUUUACCUGUUCAUGUACGCUGCAGGUCACAGUUGCUACACGCCUGGUAUACAAGUUGACGUCGGGGUAGGUAACGUAGCUGUGUUUGUAGAAAACGUAGUCGGACAGUAACGAUUCCCUCUUCGCCCUGAACCUCUUCCUUAGAAAGGUAAUUCGUCUAAUGUACAAACCAACGACACUUCAUGGUCUAUCCGAUCAAGAUAAAAAAAGUACUAGGACCUCAUAAAGUCGUCGCGGUACGUUUACGUCAUCGCAAUCCAAAGACUAAGUGGAACACAUUUUUGAAUCAAUCGGGCGUCAGUCAGUCAUCAUCGAGUCGGUCGGUCGGUCGGAGUUUAUCAUAAUGACCUUACUUACCAACAUUAUAUUAUUGUAACGUGCGACGAAACUUUUACAUAGUCUUGACCCGACCCGGGUUCUAUCGAACACCACACUACACAACAUUACAGUUACCGUAUUAUUAAAAAAAACCUAACCUAG